CCUGACUUCGGUACCCCUCCUCCCCAGAGGGGCCCGAAGAAGUGUCCUCCUCUGCUCCAUAGUCCACGAGGUUCAAGUCCGAGGCCUGGAAAAGUGGAGAUAGUUGCUAGUUCCCUUUCCCGCGACCAGGUCGCAGGAGAGGGGCGCGGGCUGCCAGCGUGUUCGUGUCCCCAGAGUGACGGGGCUUGGCCCGCUGCGACGUCUGCUCCGAGUCGCGCCAGCGGGAGCGGUGCAGAGUCUGGGACGACGCGAGACGCCAUUUGCAUCCCCCCUCCCUCCUGCAGGUUGCCGGGGGCCGGGGUGUCGCCCGCCGCGGAAGCGUAUUCCUGGCAGUGACACUGAUUAGAUGCUGUGUCGGUACGUGCACAGAAUCGGGUGGGCCUUCACCUCUCCUGUGCGCAUACACUUUCUGUUGGGAAAGUUGCGGGUUCUUCCACCCCACCCCCCUCGCUUCACAGCUGCUGUCUCCAGGGCGGAAUUAGGCGAGCACGUUUGCUCAGCCCGAGGGAGAGAGGAUCGCGCCGGCGCGGGGAGGCCGCCGGGCCCGGGCCGCGGAAAUCCAGCCCUGGCUUUUCGUCGAGCUGCCGAGUGCGGCGCUUACGCGCGCCCGGCCAGCCAAGGCCUGGUUUCCAUCUGCCCCUUUUGCCUCGGUGUUAAGUUCGCCGGGGAAAACCCAAUGAUCCGUGCAGAGCCCCUUGGAGGAGAACCCCCCCACACCACCCGCUUCUGACCGAUGGAAAAAAUGACAGUAUAGGUCAGAGCAGGCUGCCCGCGAGUAUUAAUGCGGCCGCCUCCGUUCCCGGUGCUUGGGGAGGAUGGGCGCCUCGCCAGGAAACCGCCGAAAGGAGGAGCCACGAGGGCCGCCUGCCCCUUCCCGGUCUAGAAAACGUGGAUUCUUAGAGAGACCAGACAGAUGUGGGCAGACAGCUGCGGGAACUUAGCCCAUCUAAAUACAGGUUGUCCAUGUAUCUUUCAAGCAAGAUUAAUCUUUAAAAAAAAAAAAAUCAAGUACACGUUGAGUCAGUUAUAAAUACUGUGAGAACUGGCUGAUCCGUAAAUGAAACCCCCGCUGUCUGCUUGAUAUUAAACGUGUGUGAGGAGGUGCUGGGCUGAGCAUGAUGUAUCUUGGCAGUGCCCGUGUGUGUCCUAAGAAGGCGCGGUCCCCUCUGCACUCCACCUUCGAGGACUUCUACUAUAAUUCUAAACGGAGAUUUAUUUUAGUUGUAGUUUCUAUUUGGGGGAUUUCUUGCUCCUUACAAACUCCUGCCGGGGGUUGUUUGCACUUCAUAGUGGAUGGUCCUGGGUUUUAGCUUUUAUAAGCCCACGUUUUUCUCUUCCUUUUUCUUUUUCUGCGUACGUGCAGCUGGGUGCGGAGAGGGCCCCCCCCCAACCCCGUCUGCCAUCGCCGCCCUCGGGCUCUUACCCGCGCACCACGCCGCCUCCCAGGAGGGGAAAUGUGAACGCUCCGGGUGGCGCUCGAGAACUGGAAUUCUGACUUCGGGCUCCGGGUUUGUUCCGGAGGCUGGCCGGGGCAGCGGCUUGGGAGCCGCAGGCUGUGAAGGGGAAGCCCCCGGAGGCGCCCGCGUCUUUGUCUUUUCGCGGGGCUGGCAGCUUGGCACGCACAGUUCCGAUAAGGAUCAACUCUAAGAGCGAGAGCGCACGGCCAGCACUUUUCAGCGAUGAGGCGAGGCGAACGCCGGCCGCCACGUAAGGGAAAGGCCAUUUGCGUUGUCUUUGAAAAGGAAAAGGCUGUCCCACCUAAUGAAGUAUGAGUGACCUGGGAGCGGCCAGGCAGGGAGUGAGUGGCUCCGAGGCUGCCUCCAGGCCCUUCUUUGCCCCCCCUCCUACCCAUAACCUAGGAGACCCCAUUUCGAGCUUUUUGAAAUUAUAAAUCUGAUUCUAUUUAGCCUUUAAAUGCACCAUAAAUAGUGGUGCAUUUGGGUGUCCCUAAAAUGAGACCCACCAGCAGCCCAGGGACUGGGGCCUGCCGCAUGCCAGCCCUGGACCAGUGUUAACUUACACUGGCUAACUUACAUCCCCAGAGGAUGUGGCUUUUGCCCGGUGCCUCCAAGAACUGAUUUAUAGGAGGUGGCCUUGAGCCAUCAGAAAGGGUGGCCUGGAAGAGUCUACUGGAUGGCCUCUAAACCGGUGCUGUUCACCCAAAGCCUCAGGGAGAGGGUGGGUAAUGGUGCCUGAGCCCUGGUAGGAGCUUCCCAUUAAUCCAGUCUAAAUGAGCACCAUUAAAGCACAGUUCCCCCUUCCACCCCCACCACACGCACAGGCCUUAAGGGAAAGUCUAGUCGAAAACAUUCAAGCCCAUUUUGCCUUCUUAACUUUUUCUGUGAACCGAAUGCCCUUUCCACCCUGCCCAAAUCCUCUAUAGGCCUUCAGCAACUUCAUCCUGAUAGGAGGGUACCAAAUCCUAACAACAAACACUGUAGCACUGUAUGCCUGGCAGACUUCUAGGCACUUUAUUAACUCCUAACAUUCUCAAAACAAUCCUGUGGGAGUUCCCCGUUGUGUCUCAGCCCUACGAACCCAGCUAGUAUCCAUAAGGGUGUGGGUUCGAUCCCUGGCCCUGCUCUGGGGGUUAAGGAUUCUGCAUUGCUAUUGGCUGUGGUGUAGGCCAACGGCUGCAGGUCUGAUAGGAGCCCUAGCCUGCACCCCUGUACCGUGGGUGUGGCCCUAAAAAGACAAAAAAAAAAAAAAAUCAAAACAACCCUGUGAGCUAGACACUAUUCUUGGCAUGUUUUACAGAUGAGGACGCUGAGGCCAGAACUGUGAAGUGGCUUGGCGGCACAGUUUGGGCCAGGACCAGGAUUGCAGCCACGGGAGGGAGGGAGGAAGGGAGGGCUGCGCUGCCUCUCCAGUGUUGUGUAGGGAAGGCGAGCUGUUUGGGGGGUGUUGGACCCCCACCUUCCAAAACGUUAUGGGAAAAGAUGAGAAACCCAACAUUUAGCCCUUAUUUUGCAAAGGAAAGUUCCGGAGCGUCGUACAGAAGCACGUUAUUGUGGCUCCGCGGCCGCGAAGGGGCCAGGGAAGGCAGUGCAAAGGCCUCCCGCCCCACCUCGCCACAUAGCAUCCGGUGGUCACGUCCGCCGGAGGUGACUGGGGCCUGGGGACAGCCGAUUGCGGAGGAACUCCUUAUCGUCGAGAGUCAGUGGUCCCAAGAAGCGACGCUAAAACGACCGCCUGCCGGGGUGGCUGGGUCAAGCCGGGUGCCUAGGCUCCGGGCGCGCCCCCGGCCUCCUCCCACGGAGGAGCUGCGCCUCCUGCAGCUCCGGGCUCCCCUCCACUCGGGCUGCCAGCCCUGGGCACGGAACCUCACGGCCGGGGGCUGGAGAGGCCAGAUAAGCAAGUCCUGAUUGGGAGGGCUGGUUCCGGGUUGUUCGCACUCACCCUGCUGCUUCCCUCAAACACUCAUCCCUUCUCCCCCCGCCCCCCGCGCGCGCGCGCACACACACACGCACACGCACAUACACAGAGGGUCUCAAGCGCGCAGCCAGCUUCCCGGGCCUCUGUCUCCCCUUCCUCCUCAGUCUCCCCUUCCUCCUCCCAGGCUCUGGUGCCUGGGAACCCGUGGCGGUCGUGUGCUGCCCCUGGGAAGUGUCGAGGUGGAACGGCUGCGCGUUGUUCUGCUUCUCCCCAGGGUCCAGGCAUACGGUGGUGCCCUGGGGCGUGCAGCCAGGAUCCAAGGAUCCCCCACUGCCCCCCUCCCCGGGAGGUGGUGGCAGCAGGCGGGAGAGACCUGUGAGCUAGGUGUUUCAUGAUGGCCUGGGGGUCAGAGGGGAGGACCGGAGAGUGGGGCCUAUGCCUAGAUGGGAGUGGCGAUAAAUCCCCUGUGCACGAAGGCCGGCUGGUUCUCCGGCCACCCCGCUGGUAGGAGUCUAUCCUGCAUGUCUUGUAUUGGCUGAAGCUUGACAGCGGGAGUGCCCGGGCCAGAGUGUGGCUGGGGGGGGGGGGGGGGUGGGCNGGAGUUGGUCCGAGGCGGCGCUGGACGAUCAGCUCCCCAUCUCACCUCCUCCAGCCUUUACUUCUCACUCGAGAAGACCCAUGGGCCCCGCUGCCCUCGCCACCGCCAAGGCCCGCAGAGGGCCAGGCUGGCCUGGUGGCAGCCCGCGAGCCCAGCCUGGCCGCUGAGCUGAGGGAGGGAGCGCAGCAGCCGGCUUGCCUCAAGGCAGAACACACGCCUUUCCCGGAACCUUGAAACCCAGGGGAGCCGCUGCCAUCUUCGCGUGACGAGCAGCGAGACGCCGGUGAUUAAGUGUUUCUUUCCGGCUCCCUCCCCGGGUUAUGGCUCUCCUCCUUUCCACAGGGCUGGAGGAAUAAAACCUGGGGUGGGGGGAGCACACCACAGUGCUUUCCAAGCUCCUUGGAUGCCCGAACUGGUCUCCCAGGGUGCCUCUAUGCAGACUGCCCUCCAGCCCCAAACACCCUGCCUCGAGAAGAUCGAGGCUUUGGGGGACUCCCCCCCAUGCCUCAGUUUCCAUCCACCUCGGUCCAGAUCUCAGAGUUUAAUGGGGGGAGCACACAUUGCCAAAGCCAGCUGACCCCCGUCUCCUCGCCCGUGAGGAUUAACCCUUAAUACAGGAAUCCCCCACCCACACCAGGGACUAAUCCUGCCGCCCCUCCUGGGAUUAACUGGGCUCACAGGUCCAUAAAACACUUCCGGCGCAGCCAGAGGGUCUGUCUGCAGAAACACUUUAAAAUUGUCCUCCCGGGCCUAGAGUGGAGGGAAGUGAGUAAACAGACAGUUGUUGGAGAGGAUCCGUGCGGUUUGCAGGCUGUGGAAAGAGCUGCCUAAAAUGUGGGCGGUCGGGGCUGCUUCAGCCCCGGAGGGGGACUGGGGUCCCAGUAGAUCCAUCUCAGCAAAGGAUGCAGCAUUUACGAAAUGGCAUUGAUCUGGAGAAGGGUGGACCCAGGCAGGAGGCGGCAGGUUUCAGCUGGCUUCUGGCCCCGAGGAAGACAAGAUUCCUGAAACUUGUUGAGGAGUCGGGGUGGGGGUGUGAGUCUCCUCAUCCGUAAAUGGGAGCAGCCACACUCACCCUGCCCCUCUCAGGUGGGAUUCUGAGAACCAAAGUCUUCAAGCCCUUUGUAAAUGGGGCAUGACCCCCUUGGAGUCACUGUGACUACUGUUCAAUCUCGCUCACCUUAGGAAACACCGUGAUUUGCUGAUUAAAAAAAAAAAAGUGAAAACCAGCCUUUCCUCAGAUCCAUCCAGGAAUGUACAGAUAAAGGGACUCCAAAAGCAAUUUAAGGCUUUGAACAUCCUUCUUUUUACAUCACUGGAAAUUCAGUUUUGGAGGGAAUGGGAGAGUCUUUAGAAUGUUCUAAGAAAAA
Molecule: long non-coding RNA, 5340 nt
Filed under: Sus scrofa (pig)
Lineage: Eukaryota; Metazoa; Chordata; Mammalia; Artiodactyla; Suidae
Description: lncRNA (ENSSSCG00025071768.1)
Source: RNAcentral